RNAcentral lists this transfer RNA (73 nucleotides) under Gigantopelta aegis. Its description in RNAcentral is "tRNA-Ile". It matches the Rfam family "tRNA". From Rfam's summary of the family: Transfer RNA (tRNA) molecules are approximately 80 nucleotides in length. Their secondary structure includes four short double-helical elements and three loops (D, anti-codon, and T loops). The record is from RNAcentral. Lineage: Eukaryota; Metazoa; Mollusca; Gastropoda; Neomphalida; Peltospiridae.
GGCCUGUUAGCUCAGUUGGUUAGAGCGUCGUGCCAAUAACGCGAAUGUCGUGGGUUCGACCCCACAUGGGCCA